This is a small nuclear RNA of Pygocentrus nattereri (red-bellied piranha), 214 nucleotides long. Its record names the gene U2. It matches the Rfam family "U2 spliceosomal RNA". Rfam says of the family: U2 is a small nuclear RNA (snRNA) component of the spliceosome (involved in pre-mRNA splicing). The record is from Ensembl. NCBI's taxonomy places the organism in Eukaryota, Metazoa, Chordata, Actinopteri, Characiformes, Serrasalmidae.
AUCCUUUUUCUGAUCCAGACGAGAAAAAAAAAAAAAAAAAAAAAAAAAAAAAAAAAAAAAAUCUGUUCUUAUCAGUUUAAUAUCUGAUACGUCCCCUACCCGGGGACCAUAUAUUAAAUUGAUUUUUGGAGCAGGGAGAUGGAAUAGGGGCUUGCUCCGUCCACUCCACGCAUCGACCCGGUAUUGCAGUACCUCCGGGAGCGGUGCACCCCCU